This 636-nucleotide ribosomal RNA is filed under the name uncultured Bacteroidota bacterium. Its description in RNAcentral is "bacterial SSU rRNA". It matches the Rfam family "Bacterial small subunit ribosomal RNA", at positions 13 to 636 of the family's 1533-position model. The record is from RNAcentral. Lineage: Bacteria; Pseudomonadati; Bacteroidota.
UUGAUCCUGGCUCAGGAUGAACGCUAGCUACAGGCUUAACACAUGCAAGUCGAGGGGAAACGACAUCGAAAGCUCGCUUUCGAUGGGCGUCGACCGGCGCACGGGUGAGUAACGCGUAUCCAACCUGCCCAUCACUUGGGGAUAACCUUGCGAAAGUAAGACUAAUACCCAAUGACGUCUCUAGAAGACAUCUGAAGGAGAUUAAAGAUUUAUCGGUGAUGGAUGGGGAUGCGUCUGAUUAGCUUGUUGGCGGGGUAACGGCCCACCAAGGCGACAAUCAGUAGGGGUUCUGAGAGGAAGGUCCCCCACAUUGGAACUGAGACACGGUCCAAACUCCUACGGGAGGCAGCAGUGAGGAAUAUUGGUCAAUGGGCGAGAGCCUGAACCAGCCAAGUAGCGUGCAGGAUGACGGCCCUAUGGGUUGUAAACUGCUUUUAUAAGGGAAUAAAGUGAGCCUCGUGAGGCUUUUUGCAUGUACCUUAUGAAUAAGGACCGGCUAAUUCCGUGCCAGCAGCCGCGGUAAUACGGAAGGUCCGGGCGUUAUCCGGAUUUAUUGGGUUUAAAGGGAGCGUAGGCCGGAGAUUAAGCGUGUUGUGAAAUGUAGACGCUCAACGUCUGCACUGCAGCGCGAACUGG